AGCAGCCGCGGUAAUUCCAGCUCCAAUAGCGUAUAUUAAAGUUGUUGCAGUUAAAAGCUCGUAGUUGAAUUUCGGGGUUAGUAGGUUGGUCAUGCCUCUGGUAUGUACUGGUCUCACUGAUUCCUCCUUCCUGAUGAGCCGUAAUGCCAUUAAUUUGGUGUUGCGGGAAUUUGGACUGUUACUUUGAAAAAAUUAGAGUGUUUAAAGCAAGCUAACACUUGAAUACAUUAGCAUGGAAUAAUGAAAUAGGACGUUUGAUUCUAUUUUGUUGGUUUCUAGGAUCGACGUAAUGAUUAAUAGGGAUAGUUGGGGGCAUUAGUAUUCAAUUGUCAGAGGUGAAAUUCUUGGAUUUAUUGAAGACUAACUACUGCGAAAGCAUUUUGCCAAGGAUGUUUUCAUUUAAUCAAGAACAAAAGUUAGGGGAUCGAAGACGAUCAGAUACCGUCGUAGUCUUAACCAUAAACUAUGCCGACUAGGGAUCGGAUGAUGUUAAUUUUUUAAUGACUCACUCGGCGCCUUA
RNAcentral lists this ribosomal RNA (520 nucleotides) under uncultured Glomus. Its description in RNAcentral is "SSU rRNA". It matches the Rfam family "Eukaryotic small subunit ribosomal RNA", at positions 569 to 1090 of the family's 1831-position model. Lineage: Eukaryota; Fungi; Glomeromycota; Glomeromycetes; Glomerales; Glomeraceae. The record is from RNAcentral.